Molecule: ribosomal RNA, 128 nt
Filed under: Cladosporium pulvericola
Lineage: Eukaryota; Fungi; Ascomycota; Dothideomycetes; Cladosporiales; Cladosporiaceae
Description: partial 18S ribosomal RNA
Rfam family: Eukaryotic small subunit ribosomal RNA
Source: RNAcentral
GGCCUUCGGACUGGCCCAGGGAGGUCGGCAACGACCACCCAGGGCCGGAAAGUUGGUCAAACCCGGUCAUUUAGAGGAAGUAAAAGUCGUAACAAGGUCUCCGUAGGUGAACCUGCGGAGGGAUCAUU